CCCCGCACUCGCAUUGCAUUGACAAGACUAGACAAUAGUCGCGGUGUCGCCCUGCAUGCUGUAAUGAUCAUCCUCAAAAUUGUUACCCCCGUAAAUUACAAAAUCUUGCACAAAAUUUCUUUCAUCUUACUUCAAUUUCAAGAGAAAAAGAGAAAUACAGUCUAUUGUCUAAUUUAUGUUCGUUGAAUCAAAAUUUGGGGUUAACUUUUGCAAAUUUUCCAACUAUCCAUCACGCAUCAAUUGUUCUUGAGGACUUAGUGAGUGCAUUACUGCAGUUGGCCAGUUGUACUAUCAGUGAUGAAUAUUGAAGAGAAUGAGGCAGGGAUAUGGGAGAAUAGCAUGGCUUUUGCACAGAGUGACAGAGAUGAUGCGAAAAACUUGAAAAAUAGUUUAGAAUAUCAGAUUUUGGUCCCUCCUUGUCUCUCCUCUUUUUGUAGAAUACUGCUUGUGGCAAAUAUUAACUGAAUUGGACAGGAGCCGCGCGAACGCAGGCCCCCACUAUCACAAAUUAUGACGUACACUCUUCCUCUUGGGAAGAUGUUAGGCAGGCACCCCUCCAAAGUGCAAUGGAGGCCACCUACCUAGGCCAUGAGCCUUGUUGAUCGCACAUUGACCUCGUCCAGGAGGGGUAUGAAGUCCCAUUUCUCACGGAAGAGCUACCUUUUAUUUUUCUCUCACUCCUUGCCUCCUUGGGAGCUAUAUAAGAGCUCCUCUCUAUUCAUGAGCUGGCCGGAUUUCAGUAGUAACAUGUUAAAGAGUCUAACACUUGAGUGCAAUACUGCAAUUGUCCUAUCAGUGAUGAAUAUUGAAGAGAAUGAGGCUGGGAUAUGGGGGAAUAUCAGAUUUUAGUCCUCCUUGUCUCUCCUCUUUGUUGUAAGCAGGCUAUCAAGUCUUCAGGAACUUACAUUCAAGUUUGGAUAUGGAAUUGGUUAGAGGUUGCGCGGACGCAGACCCCCACUAUCACAAAUCAUGACAUACACUCUUCCUCUUUGGGAAGAUGUUAAGCAGGCACCCCUCCUAAGUGCAAUGGAGGCCACCUACCUAGGCCAUGAGGCUUCUUGAUCACCCAUUGACCCUGUCCAGCGCCAAAGAACAACUGUUCGAGUACAGCCCUUAUCAAGACCAAUCUGGGGAGGUUCCAAUUACAUUAUGGGAAAUCUUCUGCAGUUAGUCACCCACAUUUGCAAGUCAAGUAAAGGGUUGAAAUGACCAGAAAAUAAAUAGAGGUCCAGCACUUCAAAUGGCGAUCAUUUACUUGAGAAGUGCCAAAAUCUGAAGAUGCCAAGUCAGACAGGACACUAGAUAGUUAGAAUGGAAAUUAGAUAGGGGCCGCGCGAACGCAGGCCCCAGCUAUCACAAAUUAUGACGUACACUCUUCCUCUUGGGAAGAUGUUAGGCAGGCACCCCUCCAAAAGUGCAAUGGAGGCCACCUACCUAGGUCAUGAACCUUCCUGAUCGCCCAUUGACCCCGUCCAGACAGAUGAUUCUUCGUAUCUCUUUCAUCCUGAGUUCUUGCUGGUAUUUCUAAUAACCAGGUAGGGCCUGACCUUAUUAAUGCUCAAUCUUCUAGGUUUAGUACUGCAUUGAUCUAUUACUAUAUAUUAGGAUCGAAAACCUGUGAUGUUAUCACCACCAGGUGGAUUAAUGCAUUUCACUUCUACACCAUACCUUGCAUGAUCUUCUUGAUAACUCUUAUGUUGUAGGAACAAUGACUAGUAAUGAACGAACUGCCCUAGAGUUGAAUUUGCAAUUAGAAUCAAUCAAUGACUCAAUUUAAUAGUCCUUUGUUCCAUGUGAUUUUUCUUUCUCCCCUUUGAAUUUUGGUGGAUUGGAGGUGGGUGGAUAUGGUGGAAUGUCAAAGACCGUAGUGGUAUACGAAGUAUAAUAUGGUUAUCAUGAAAUACAAGAGUAUGUUACACACUUACACAUACAAUAGGAAGUGGUGGUACACGAGGUACUUUGUGCUGGAAUAUUUGGUGAUAUACAACGCAAUUUACAACGGUAAUCCGAUGAUUAGUGAUGGGGUGAAAAAUUAAUAAAUCUAUCCUCUCAUAUUUAUUUUUAUUUGUACUCCUUUGUACCAUAUUAGUUAACCUAUUUAGUGAAUGAAAUACAAGGAACAUUGUGACUGUAAUAUUUCCCAUCAUUUAGUACGUGGUUUUCCUAUUGACCAAAUUAUAUUGUUUGAGGCAUAUGAAUACAUUAAAUAUUUUACUCAAUCCCAAGUUACUUGCACUAGUUUUCCCUUUAGGAAUGUCCUACAAUAGUUUGCCCCAUUUCCUCCAUGGGGAUUUUUGUCUCUUACUUUUUCUUCAAAGUUGGGUUCCACAGUCACCCACCAACUUUAUUUUCCUACUUUUUUCCUCUCAUUGUAGACUAUGCCAUUUGAACAUAAUAUGGCUGCAUUUGAGAUGAAGUGUUGUCAAUCUUCGCCAUCUUUUUCAUGAAAAUGUCAUGGUUAAAUGUACAUUGAAAAAUAAUCUUUAUGUUUGAAGAUAAAUAAACGUGUAAUGAUGUUUUAGCUUACCUUUUAUUUUAUUUUUCAACAAAGGUAGUAAAACUUUUUCAUCAAAGAAGCAUCCGAGGUGAUAUAUUUCCGAAAGCAAUCAUAUUGCUUUAUUUAUUUAUUUCCAUUGUCCAUUCAAUGAACUUUGCCUCUCAAUGGUGAAAAGAAAAAAAACGAUUAUUUAAACUCCCGUAAUUAUCUGGGCAAAGCUUUUAAUAACUGAUAACAUGGAUAUUUUUUGAGUUAAAUUGAAGUUGGAUGUGUGCAAUAUUCUCUUCUGCUAAAUUAUAUUUUGAGUUGAAUUUGAAUGCGGAGUUACGAAGUUGCAUGUCUUAUUGGCUUAAUUACUGGAGUACUAGUUAUGGAUUAAUCAUUUUAUGAUACAGUUUGAACUUAGAUCUCUUGUGGAGUACAGCUCCUUCUGAUGCUGAAGCGAUUGUUCUUUGCUAGUAAUGAGGUGGAAUCUGAAUGUGUUGAAGUCGUGAAGAGUGCUUACAAUAUUUGUUUGAACUUGUUAUCCCUUUGAUAUUUGGUUUGGGAGAGGGUAUCUUUUUGCUGUUCAGCAAGACCAGAAAAUUAGGUUUUCUAAUGACACAAAUUAUUAGAUUAUUGUCCCUUCAAAUUUCUUCUGGCCUGAGUGUUCAAGUUGAUUCAGAGAAGUUAGGCUUGAUUUUUAUCUCUUUUGUGUUAUGUGUUUGAGGCUACUAGAGAUAGGGACAUAUAUAUAUAUAUAUGGUAUGGAAAUGAAAAUUUUGUUUAACAUAAUUCAAAUGAGAGUGGAGCAGUAAGCUACAUUUUACAGGACAUGAAAUUUCUACUAGGAUAGCAUAGCUUUUUCUUAGAAUAGUAUAAGGGUUUUCAGUAGCUUCUGUUACGAGAGUAAAUUUUUAUAUAUUGUAUUUGCAGUGUUUAAUGGCCCCAAAUGAAAAAAUUAGUUGUCUUAUUAAUUAUGGAAAUUUAAAGUUUAAGAUGUUUUUUGUUUAGUAAACCUAUCAUAACCAAGUCAAUAUUUGGAAUAGAAGUAAACAUUUUGAUGACAUAACUUUAAAGAACUCAUUAUCUUAUACUCGUAGUUGUUGAGGAAAUUUUAGGCCCCUUUGAAAGGUUCAGUUCCACAUUUCUACUCCAUCACGAUUUUAUUUAAACUUAGCAAUUUAUAAUUUUAUGAUUUUUUCAAAGCGUUCUAUUGCAUCUUUUGCUAUAUCUAAUCAGCAAAAAAGCACAAAACCUGUAUAACAGUUGUAUAAAAUUCAGUUGAUAAAUCCAACAUGAUGUUGGUGUUCUUACCUGUGUGCUUGCAGAAUUGCCUGUUCGAUUUUUAUCAUUGUUGUGUAGGUCCUGUGUGCUUGCAGAAUACAUUUGCAUCUGAUAAAUUUGAGAUAAUUAUGCGACAUCUAUUAAGUAGUUUAUUUAUGAAUGCUAAGCUGAAACAUUUUCAUUCUUGGUUUUAAUGGAAGCACCUUUAAAAAGGAGCUCCCUACAAAAAUAAACGUAUGCCACUGAAUGCAGCGAGCACACGGUAUUCUUUAGUAAAAGGCGAAAGAAUAGUUCGCUUUGUGCUCACUGCGUGGCUGCGUAAUUUUUCCAAGAAAUGCUUCAGUUAUUUAUACUGCAGUCAUUGUUUGGGUCUUAUCCUGAUUGAUGUGGGACUGUUGUGAUUUUCCUUUGUAUCUUAUAGUGAAUUUUUAGCUGUAGGGAAAAUUAUUUACACAAACUAAGAAUGUUUUGCUUGCUAUCUUAAUGUGUUGAUUCUACUUUGAAAAAAUGUCAUUUGUUUUAUGUUGCUUCACAAUUAUGUAGCUGAACUUUUUGGUUGUGCAUUUGAGAUGUUCCGCUGAAUAUGAAGUUGAAUUACUGUAAUGGUGGAUAAAAAGGUUAAUCUAAGCCGCUGGAUAGCAACACCAUAAUCAAUCUACUUGAAUGGCAGAGUUUGUCCAAUCUUUGUGUUGAUCUCCAAUUAUAGUAUUUAUACCUAAAUGAAGUAAGAACAUAUAACGUCAACUAAUGUUCCAUGCCAAAGACAUUAGACUAGUAAAAGAACAACAUAAUGGACCCAAAUAAAGUAAGAACGUUUAAAUUCACACCUAUUUUAUAAAUGUGUGUAAGAUUUUAAAAGUUAGAAGAACUAUCUACCUGUAAAAGGAUAUCUUGUGAGUGGUUCUGUAAAGGUUAGUGUUUAGCUUUAUCAUCCUAAUAGGUUUAGGGGGCUUAGACAGAAUGGAGUUGUAUAAACAGGAAUUUUUAAGCUCACUGUUAGGUGUACGUGAGAGUGUCCAACUUGUGUAAUGUAUCAUUUUGAUUAGAGUGCCCAAUUUUGUGCAUGCUCUGGUGAGGAGGGAUUUAUACCUUCAAGCUAUUUGUGUAUGUUUUUUCGUAUUGUUUUUACUUUCAUAUUUUUUACCCCUUACAACAUUACACUUGGUUAGGUUCAUAAUACAGGAACCAUUAGAAACGUAGAGCUUUAUGCUUCGUCGGGAUUUAAGAUGAUGUGCUUUGUAAACCUAAUAAGAACAUGUUUUAGUUUGGCUGCUGAAGUUAGAGUCACUCGUUAUAUUUGAUGGCGUUGUUGAGUUCGUUCAUUUGUACAAAGUUAGCAUUUACUCUAGUACAAUAGCGCGCUUAUGUUUUUGAACGGGAAUGUGUAUCAGUUUAUUCAGUGAUCUCAGCUCUUGCCUUCCAAAUUGGUGGCCAUUCUGAUAGUAGAAGUACUUUGCAUGAGGACUUGUAUUUGUUAAGAAUCUUAGUUGCAGACUGUCAUAUCAUAGGACCGGUUUAGUUCAAUUCUUCAAUUAUUUGACAAUUGGAUACUCUGAACUUCUAAUGGUUUUGGCUUCUGUGACAGAGACGUGUAGUACUGCGUGAAGGCUUUUGCUGAAGAACGGGUAUCAUUCUUUAGCAGCGGAUGGGGCUAAUGUAUAAUAUCCUAGCUUGUUCGGCUUUAUUUCUUUGGAAGUCCUUUAUGAAGCGAUCAUCCCAUGUGUCAAAUAUUGAGUUUUCUCACAUUGCGAAGCCACAGUUGACUGAAUUGAGGUUGGAACGACCAGAAAAUUUGAUAGAGGUACGUAAGAUCGAACGCAACAUUCCUUAUGGAUUUCUCGUUAUUUCGGCAAUAAGAUUUAGUAUCUGUUUCUUUACAUAUCAAUUUUUACAUAUGGUCAAAAGGCCACAAUGAUUUUAAAGGUUAUUCAUUUUCUUAGGGAAAAGAGUCCACCAUUAUAGCAUCGCCAUUAUAGCAUCGCCCAUGUAUUGCUGAUUGUGCCGUACUGCAUAGGAUUGGCACAUUCCACUAAGUGUAAACUUGCUGCUUGCAAUUACAAGCAGUUGAAGGAUGUAUUUUUCUUCAUGAACUUGGUAAUUUUUGAAAAGGAUUUCACUCCACUUCUAUCUAGCUUAAUUCAUUGUAUAAUUGGCUUCUACCCCUACACUACAAGUCUACAAGGUAGCACGAAAUUUUGAUCCCUAUUUAGUUUAAAUAGUUCAAACUAGAUAAAAUGGCGAGUCAUACAUCGCAAGCUAUUUAGAAUUCCAGAAGUUUUUUGAGGCAAAGAUGUGAAUCUUCUUGCUAAACUACUCUGGUACGGUGAUCACUCAUGCUUUGUAUCAUUUGGAUGGGAUUUAUAUGAAGACGUUUGCGAAAAUGUUAGAAACUCUUAGCUUCCUGUUAUUCAUGCCUUUAAUUCUCAGGAUGUGUUGUGAGGAUCAUUUUGAAAUAGGCACUCCUCUGGAAGUUUUUAGCGAGUGGUAAUCUUACUAGAAAUAUUGAUAUGCAUCAAACUAUCCCACAUUGAAGAAAUUAAAUUUCUUAGUCGUUUAUAAUUCUCUAGGUACAUUAGUUGAUGGUCUCUUCGGAGACAUCUGAUAAAAUUGGAACGAUACAAAGAAGAUUAGCAUGGCCCCUGCGCAAGGAUGACACGCACAAAUCGAGAAAUGGUCUAAAUUUUUUGGUCUAUUUUGCCCUUUCCCAUGAAACCUGAAUUCAAAUAAUAAUGCUGUUUACAGCAAAACUUGUUCAAUCCUCUGAAAUGUCUUCAUUCCUGCUGCAAUUCUCGACACAUAUACCAUAUGAUCCUUCAGUGCCAAUGACAUACAAGACUGUUGGCAGGUGAUUUCUCUUGUAUUAGAAACUUUUGCAGCAAAUAACUGAUACAUGGUCCAAAUUAUUUCCUCACCGGCUUUCUUCUCCUGGAAUCCGAAUUUCAAUUAUUUAUGCUGUUUACAGCAAAAUUAUUUUCUCAUCUGCAAUGUUUUCAUUCUUGUUGCACACCUUGAUUCUAGCACCUUAUUUUGUGCCAUGAGAUGGUGAUAUCUCUUAUAAUUGUAGAAAGUUUUGUUGCCAAAAAAUGGAAUCUGCUUCUUCCUGCACUCUAAACAAAAGGCCAAAACGAGAAAAUAUGAAGGAGGGAGCCAGGGAGGUAUCCAUCACAGCCUACAAGGCUUCAAGACUCUCAUGUGGACUAGUGGUAAAUUGGUAAUCCCACAUGUCAAAUAUUUAUUGUCUCGCAUAGAGAAACGACAGUCGAAGCUGGAAUGAAAGAGAAGAUGGAGGUAGGAGGAUGUGAGAUUAAAUGUAGCAUCCCUUUCUGGCUUUCUCUGUAUUUUGGCUAUAAGAUCAAGUGUAUAUGUUUAAUACUUUGUACUGUAUAUUUUAUGUUAAGUCAUCACAACGGACAAGACCACUAUAGCUCGCAGCUUGCUUAGGGAUCUUGGAGUAUAACCCAUGUAUUGAAAUUGGGUAUCCACACAUUGAAAUUUAAGGAAGCUAACUUGUAUGGAAAUCCAAUAAAUAAAUUGGCAAUCUUGUACCCGGCUUGGGUCACAAUCAUCUUUACACAUGUAGGUCAAAUUAGUACUUCUAUGUUAGAAUUGGUAAACAUGGCUUUGAACUAUACCCGCACUAAUUGG
Molecule: RNA transcript, 7408 nt
Organism: Spinacia oleracea (spinach)
Lineage: Eukaryota; Viridiplantae; Streptophyta; Magnoliopsida; Caryophyllales; Amaranthaceae
Exons: 14
Source: RefSeq, a predicted model, not a curated record